Long non-coding RNA from Zeugodacus cucurbitae (melon fly), 1892 nucleotides. RefSeq lists it as uncharacterized. Lineage: Eukaryota; Metazoa; Arthropoda; Insecta; Diptera; Tephritidae. The record is from RefSeq and is a predicted model, not a curated record. The transcript has 3 exons.
AGCUGAUUGAGAAAUUUGUUUAUUUAUUACAAACGUGAAAUAAAAAUGGAUAAAAAAGAGUUAUUAAUGGCAAUUUUGGUAUUUUUGGAAAACAAAAAGAAAUUUAAUGAAAGAAUUAAAUUGUUAUUAAAUACAUUACAAGAUAAUGAAGUGCAAUUAAAAGCAAUAGUGGAUUUUAACGAAAUCAUACAUGCUGGACUUGUAUUCGCUCAGGAGCACCAUCGACAUAUUUGGAAAUUCGUAAGUAAAUAGUUAUUUCAAUUUGGGAUUGAAAUCAAAAAUUGCAUAUUUUAAGGAUCGAGGUGGUAUAUUUUGGGAGCACGAUGUCCCAACCAUGGAUGACUCAAGGUUCAAAGAAAAUUUUCGGCUAGAUAGAAGGGCAUUCAAAAAAGUGUGCGAAAAGGUAAAGAGUAUUGGAAAAAUGGAUAGCAACAUGAGGCGCUGUAUCUCACUUGAAAAAAGAGUAGCUAUAGCACUCUUUUCUUUGGGUUCGGCAGCGGAAUAUAGGACUGUUGCUAGUUUGUUUGGCGUUGGGCGCAGCACAGUUGGAGAAAUUGUGAUCGAUUUUUGUCAUGAAGUAUGUGGUACUCUUUCGGAUUGCAUUAAUGCAUACCCCCCACAUCCGCAAGAAUUAAGAAGAAUUGUAGAAGGUUUCAAACUGAUGGGGUUCCCACAAUGCUUUGGUGCUGUUGAUGGCUGCCACAUCGAAGUGCAACCCAAAAAAGUGGAAGCCAUAGACUAUUACAAUUAUAAAGGCUGGUAUUCAGUCAUUUUGUUGGCAAGCUGUGAUCAGAGAUCAAAGUUCACGUACAUAAACAUAGGAUCCACUGGGAGAAAUAAUGACUCGUACAUAUUUGAGAGGAGUUCACUUAAGAAAUUUCAUGAACACGCUCGUAUUUUUAAGGAAAAUAGCGAAAUAAUUGAAGGCAUCAAUGUACCUGUGCUUCUUAUUGGCGACUCAGCUUUUCGUUUAUCACAUCAUAUGAUGAAACCAUAUCCAUAUGGGGUUAAUCAAUCGCCUGUUGAAAAGCACUUUAAUUAUCUUUAAUUAUCGACUGUCCAAAUGUCGCCGAGUGAUCGAAAAUGCCUUUGGUCAACUUAAAGCGCGCUUCCGUAAAGUUGGAAGAGGCUUGCAAGUUGCUCCUAAAAAUGUUAAUAUUAUAAUUAGAGCAUGUUGCAUUUUGCAUAAUUUUCUAAAGAUUGAGAACGAUGAAGUUUUUCCCGCAUGGAUACCAGAAGCAGCAGAAGAUGAAAGAAGACAUCAACCCAAUCACACAACAAGAUUAGGAGAAAAUGACCAAACUGCGACAGCGGUUAGGAAUGCCAUAGCAAUGAGAUUUCAAAACGAAGUGCUCAUGGAUGUGGACGAGGUAUCCAGUGGCGACAACAAUGGCGAGCUGGUCGAUGGUAUUACUGGCGACAACGGCUCCGGGGACAUUGUUACUGGUGAUGCUGCAGGUACAGAUGGCGGUAACGGCAGCAAUGUUGAUGACGAUAUGUCCUAAAGAAAAAAUUGUUUUAAGUUAAUACGAUAAAGAAAUAAAAAGAUGAAAUUUAAGCUUACCACAGUUAAUGAUUCAUAAAUUUCUGCAUUAUUGGCUGCAGUCAGCCCUAUGAUUUGAUGCACCGCAUCAAAAUAUUUCCACGUCGAUGGGCUGCCCCCCGAUGGGCCAGUUUUCUUCUUUUCUUCUCUACAAUUUCACAAAGGUUAAUAAUGUUAAAAAUGUUUUAUAAUAGCAUAGUAUACCUGUAUCUUUGUGAUAAGUUUCUAAUUUUAAUAUGGACUUCCUUCGGAGUAAAUUUAUGUGCCAUUUGCACAGAUAUAUCGGCAUAUAUAUGCAAAUUGCGCUUGGCACGUCUUAAAUCAUCGGCCCGCUCACGCCACAAGUCAA